RNAcentral lists this long non-coding RNA (1197 nucleotides) under Anser cygnoides (Swan goose). Its description in RNAcentral is "lncRNA (ENSACDG00005018231.1)". Lineage: Eukaryota; Metazoa; Chordata; Aves; Anseriformes; Anatidae. The record is from RNAcentral.
AUGAGGUCAAAACCUGAGCGCACGCGAUGGCAAACAGGGCAGGAUGAUGUUGUGGGUCCUGUGAGGCAGAGGGUGGAAGAGAGGAGACAUCCCGGCCCCCUCCCAGGAGCUGAGGAGGGAGGUGGCAGGUGGGGGUCCCCAAAGGCAUCCCCACCGUACCUGGGGGGGUCGUACAACCCCCUUUGCUGCACCUGGUUGCACAAUUUCGGAGGUGAGUGCUGGUACAAGGAUUUGCCAUUCUAUGGCUGUUGGGGUGUGGGGUGCACAGCCCGGUCCCCCACCCCAAGCCCGCUGUCUGCUCCGUGUGGGAUGGUGACAUUAACGUUUGCCAUCACGGCAUCCCUCGGGGACCACGUGCCUCUGCCCCAGGGCUGCUGGUUUCUGGCCUCCCAGCACUGGGACAUGGUUGGGAGAUGCUGUGGGGGCUUCCCACCACCCACCUCGGUGCCAGCCCGGUGGGGACCGUGCCCAGUCCCAGCCCAGUUCCCCCAGUCCCAGACCAGCAGGGAUGCCCGCAGCCAGGCUCGGCCUCCAUGGUGCCUUCUGACUGCCAUAACCUUCCUGGCCACCCUGUCCCCAGCCCCAAAGGCACCCCCAUCAUGGAGCAUCCUCAGCCAGGCUGACCCCAUGGGGACCACCAGGUACCAGGGCCGGUGGGCUGGGGGUCCCGAGCAUCAUCCGGUGGAGAGGGCAGGCGGCGGCUGGCAGCAGAUUAUUUCUGGAUCGGAAGUUACCCACCACUGUGUCUAUUUUUUUUUCUUAAAUAAAAGACUAGAAAAAGAAAAAAACAAACAACCCACAAUGAAAUGGAAAGCCAAAACCGAAAAGCACUGCAGCGCUGUGAUGGCUGCAGCUCUGCUGCAGUGCCCUGUCCUAUGUCGGGGCUGGUUUGGAGUCAUCCCCAGCCAGGUGGGCUCUGCUGGAGGGAAAGGGCACACACAGCACUGUCGGCCCCCCCCUAAAACCCCAAACCCAUGGCAGAGCACUGUUGGCAACCUGGGAGCAUCACUGGCUUUGACGUCCAUCAGAGCAUUGAGCACUUUGGGGACAAAGCUGUGGAUUUGGGGCUCCCCCCUCCCCAGUCCUCCCCACCUUGGCAGCCCGAUCAAAGAGGGGGUGAUGGCACAGCCUCAUCUCACCAGUCCCCGUGCCUCAGUUUCCCUGGCAGGACAGCAGCAGCCUGGGGCAGUAUCUUGA